Molecule: non-coding RNA, 220 nt
Organism: Pantherophis guttatus
Lineage: Eukaryota; Metazoa; Chordata; Lepidosauria; Squamata; Colubridae
Source: RefSeq, a predicted model, not a curated record
GGCGGGAGCGAUUCGGUAGCAGAGAUGCAAAAGAUGAGACGGCCCCGAGCAGCCCGUUGGGAACAGGGAGAGUUUGAGAAGGUGAAUUCCUAUUUUCCUGGAGCUGGGCAAAAGGAAAGGUCAUUGGUAGAAGAGGACUCUCCAGAUGAAUAGACAGGAGCUUUUCUCAAUGAGUGAAGUGCUACCUAUCCGUCCUUGAGUUGGCAGAAAACCAGGCUGG